This 249-nucleotide ribosomal RNA is filed under the name uncultured bacterium. RNAcentral's name for it is "partial 16S ribosomal RNA". It matches the Rfam family "Bacterial small subunit ribosomal RNA", at positions 335 to 576 of the family's 1533-position model. The record is from RNAcentral.
ACUCCUACGGGAGGCAGCAGUGGGGAAUAUUGCACAAUGGGCGCAAGCCUGAUGCAGCCAUGCCGCGUGUGUGAAGAAGGCCUUCGGGUUGUAAAGCACUUUCAGUCGUGAGGAAGGUGGUGUUGUUAAUAGCAGCUAUCAUUUGACGUUAGCGACAUAGAAGCACCGCGUAACUCCGUGCCAGCAGCCGCGGUAAUACGGAGGGUGCGAGCGUUAAUCGGAAUUACUGGGCGUAAAGCGCAUGCAGGC